RNAcentral lists this long non-coding RNA (256 nucleotides) under Ananas comosus (pineapple). RNAcentral's name for it is "long non-coding RNA (ACOM_LNC026579)". The record is from RNAcentral. Lineage: Eukaryota; Viridiplantae; Streptophyta; Magnoliopsida; Poales; Bromeliaceae.
AUUUGGAAUAGUGAUACAUGUAAAUCGUAAGCACUAACUAAUUAUUUCAGGCGUACGCUCUAAUAGAAAGAGCGCAUUCAUCGCACUUAGGGAUUCAACCACAGAGCUCACGGGUUUCGACCUGACUCAAUCUAUAUGGAUGUUAGAUCUAUUAUUGGGUCUCUUGCUGUUAGGUCUAUUGUCAAUCGUAAUCCCACUCGAUUUAUUGGGCUCAAUUUAGCUCAACUUAUUAGUCUCCUGGGUUUACUAUCGCGGG